Molecule: ribosomal RNA, 253 nt
Filed under: uncultured bacterium
Lineage: Bacteria
Description: partial 16S ribosomal RNA
Rfam family: Bacterial small subunit ribosomal RNA
Source: RNAcentral
UACGAGGGGGGCAAGCGUUGUUCGGAAUUAUUGGGCGUAAAGGGCGCGUAGGCGGUGCGGUAAGUCACCUGUGAAAACUCUGGGCUCAACUCAGAGCCUGCAGGCGAAACUGCCGUGCUUGAGUGUGGGAGAGGCGAGUGGAAUUCCUGGUGUAGCGGUGGAAUGCGCAGAUAUCAGGAGGAACACCGGUGGUGUAGACGGCUUUCUGGACCAUAACUGACGCUGAGACACGAAAGCGUGGGUAGCAAACAGG